This 21097-nucleotide long non-coding RNA is filed under the name Zea mays. RNAcentral describes it as "long non-coding RNA (ZMAY_LNC002019)". The record is from RNAcentral. Lineage: Eukaryota; Viridiplantae; Streptophyta; Magnoliopsida; Poales; Poaceae.
CGGAGGUCGGGUUUCCUUUCCCCAUCUAUCCUCUGGAAGCAAGCUUCUGUCGACACCGUGGGAGCGGGUUAGAGUGCGGUGCGGGGGAGAGAGGACCGCCACAUCUUGGGCUCGCCGGUGCUGCCCUUCUACACCAGUGGGGUGGUUCUGGGGCUUCGCCAGCACGCGGGGAAGCUUUGCCUGGUUCGUGCGCAUCGGGGUUGUGGCCGGAGCCUGGGUAAUUUCUCGACGGAAUUUUGGCCUCCGUGGUGUGGCCACCGAGCACCGCAGAUUGGACACGUGAUCGCAUAACAGAAGGUAAAUAACCAAUUGAAUCACUUCCCCAUGUCCUUUCAAUCGUAUUUACGCAAAUUGGGGCGGAAACCAGGCAACGGGGGCACCAGUGCGUCGUGCUCCGGCGGGAUUCCGCCGUGCAGACUGGGCGGCGCCGUCGCGCUCUGGUGUCGGGCGGGGAGGAUGCCUCGUCACCGUCAGAUCACUUGUGGGCGGUUGAGAUUAGAUCGACCCAUACCCCUUCACUCGAUUAAAUCUGUGCCGUCGGUUGCAGGCUUUGCGGUCGAGAUUGGGUUACGGCGUGGAUGCCUCACGACCAUCAGAUCUUAAUCUAGCGGCUGUCGUUGGAUACUGAGUUAGGUUUUAUAAAAAAAUCUAAUCGCAACCGUUAGAUAGAGAUCCAACGGCCCAAAUAGCCCGAUACCCCUUCGCCCUGGCCUAUUUGCUAAAGAGACCCCGUAAUCUUUACAAAUUAACCCGCCGUCCGAUUCGGAUACAAACUGAGUCUUAAGACAAUUUAUGAGUUAGACCUCGGGUUCUCUGUUAAUGUUUGCGCAGUCCAGAACCUAAAAGAAAUUCGAGAUUAAAUAAGGAAAAAUGGAAUUUUAGUAUAAAAAUAAAUCUUGAAACUUAUUUAAUUCAUAGAAAUUCCAUUUUUACUCCUUUUUAACCCAUUCCAGUUGCAAUAAUUUUGUAUUAAUAUUGUCUAUCAACUAAUAACACUGUUUAGCCAUGAAACUUGAAUUAAAAUUGUUCAUUAGGAUCAAUCUAUUCUAAGUACCAAAUAAUUUCGGAAAUUUAUAACUUAAUAACCGUAGCCCCGAAUUUAGUGGUUCUUGUUUCUACGAUCUCGUAGCUUCGCGUAGAUUAUUAAUGCGCAGUUUAUCCUUAUGUUUGGUGUGAUGUUAAUUUUGCCUAUACAUGUUUGUCUAUAUUGCUACGUUUAGCGGUGAGGACACGAGUCACCUGAAGAGCAAGUUGGUACCUGGAAUCUCAAGUCCCAGGCAAGUUGUGCCCUUGAUCACUUCUUUUACCCACUCAUGUUCUAAUUAAUCAUAAUGAUCUGCAUAGGUUAAUUUUGAUGGGACCUAAUAGGUUACCUAGUUUGUCUAUCUUUAUGCCUUGUUUACCACUGAACUUUUUGGGUAGUACUUGCUAGUGCUAUAUGUGGUUUUGGGCAUUGAGAUACACAUUAUUCAUGAUUAUACUUUUGUUAUCCGUUGUUAUUUACUGUUCAUGUCAAGAUCAUUAAUGUUAAUUGGAACAUAGAGCUUAACUUGAGAAACACGUGCCACCACAAGGGUUUAUGGACGCCCUUGGCUGAUUAAUUAGGAAAGCUAGUGGAGGACUACCUUACCCGAAAGGGGCAAGGGCAGUAGGGGAGUGGUCAGUGUAGGGAGGUCCUUGCUUGAUUUUGCUGCGAUGGCGGUCAAGCAAGAACCCUGCAUUGGAGCUUCCUAUAAACUGUAGCGGGUUUUCUGAAGCUAGUGGAACUUUGUAAAGGCCUCGUAGUGUUACCCUGCCUCGCCUCCUCGGUAGAGGUGUACGGGAAGUCGCGAUCCCUUAGCAGAUGGGUAACAUGGCUUGUGGGUAAAGGGUACAACCUCUGCAGAGUGUAAAACUGGUAUUGUCGGGGACCAUAAUUAGGGGUACCCUCAAGACUCCUAAUUCUCAGCUGGUAACCCCCAUCAGCAUAAAGCUGCAAAGGCCUGAUGGGUGCGAUUAAGUCAGGGAUCAGUCCAUUCGAGCGACUCGAUCACGCCUCGCCCGAGCCUAGCCUCGGACAAGGGCAGCCGACCCCGGAGGAUUUCCGUCUCGCCCGAGGCCCCCCUCCAACGGCGGACAUAUUUCCGGCUCGCCCGAGGCCCUCCCUUCGCUAAGAAGCAACCAUGACUAAAUCGCCGCACCGACCGACCAAGUCGCAGGAGCAUUUAAUGCAAAGGUGACCUGACACCUUUAUCCUGACGCGCGCCCCCCCCCGGCAGAGCCGAAGAGACCGCUGUCACUUCACCGCUCCACUGACCGGCCUGACAGAAGGACAGCGCCGACUGCGCCACUCCGACUGCAGUACCACUUGACAGAGUGAGACUGACAGGCUGUCAGGCCCGGCCAAAGGCACCAUAGGAAGCUCCGCUCCGCCCGACCCAGGGCUCGGACUCGGGCUAAGUCCCAGAAGAUGGCGAACUCCGCUCCGCCCGACCCAGGGCUCGGACUCGGGCUAAGUCCCAGAAGACGGCGAACUCCGCUCCGCCCGACCCAGGGCUCGGACUCGGGCUAAGUCCCGGAAGACGGCGAACUCUGCUCCGCCCGACCCAGGGCUCGGACUCGGGCUAAGUCCCGGAAGACGACGAACUCCGCUACGCCCGACCCAGGGCUCGGACUCGGGCUCAGCCCCAGAAGACGACGAACUACGCUCCACCCGACCCCAGGGCUCGGACUCCGCCCUGGCCUCUGCCGACGACCUCCGCCUCGCCCGACCCAGGGGCUCGGACUCGGCCUCGGCCACGGAAGACAGGCUCGACCUCGGCUUCGGAGGAGCCUCCGCAUCACCCAACCUAGGGCGUAGGCCAGCCACGUCAACGGGAGGUGCCAUCAUCACCCUACCCCGAGCUGACUCGGGCCGCAGGGAACAAGACCGGUGUCCCAUCUGGCUAGCUCCGCCUGAUAGGCAAUGAUGGUGCCCCGCAUACUCCGUGACGACGGCGGCUCUCAGCCCCCUUACGGAAGCAAGAGGACAUCAGCAAGGACCCGACCGCUCCGACAGCUGUCCCUCCGCCAGGCUCCGUCGCUCCUCCGACGGCCACGACAUCACACCAGCUGGGUGCCAAAAUCUCUCCGACUGCCACAUCGGCAUGUACUUAGGGCGCUAGCUCUCCCCCGCUAGACACGUAGCACUCUGCUACACCCCCAUUGUACACCUGGAUCCUCUCCUUGCGCCUAUAAAAGGAAGGACCAGGGCCCUCUUAGAGAGGGUUGGUCGCGCGGGGACGAGGACGAGACAGGCGCUCGCUUGGAGCCGCUCGCUUCCCUCACCCGCGUGGACGCUUGUAACCCCCUACUGCAAGCGCACCCGACCUGGGCGCGAGACGAACACGAAGGCCGCGGGAUUCCCACCUCUCUCGCACCGGUCUCCGGCCGCCUCCUCGCUUCUCCCCCCUUCGCGCUCGCCCUCGCGCUCGACCCAUCUGGGCUGGGGCACGCGGCGACACUCACUCGUCGGCCCACGGGACCCCCCGGUCUCGGAACGCCGACAGUUGGCGCGCCAGGUAGGGAACUGCUGCGUGUUGACGAACAGCUUCCCGUCAAGCUCCAGAUGGGCAGUCUCCAGCAACCUCUCCGACCCGGGACGGUGCUCCGUUUCGGGAGUCUUGAGUUCAUGUCCUUCGACGGCAGCUACGACACAAUACUCCUUCCAUCGCCGCGCGACAACGACAAUGGCGGCCGACAGCCCGCCCGCCGGCGGCGGAAUCGAUGACGUCUUCCCCGCGUGGUGGAAGAACAACCUCCGAGUUCGUCCCGCUUUCUCCCCCGCCGACGGAGGGGAAGGCAGGGCAACCAAGGCCAAGCAGGAGGCAGCGCCUCGUUGGCUGUCGAGCGAGUCGACAGCGCCGGCACCCCAACGAGGGGCGCACCGGGUAUCGACUUCGCGCCUGAGACGAAGACGAGCGCCGUCUCCCCGCGACACGCCAAUCCCGAGCAAGCGGACGACGCCAGCGCGCUCGCGGAGGGCUUGCAGGACGUCGCCCUCGUACCUGAGACGACGGUGCAAUCAGCCCCCGACGUGACUAUGUCGCUGCUCGUCGACCGAAAGGUACAGACCGAUUCCCAUCUUACGUCAUUUGGAUUCAGCCUCAACCCGCCUAGCGACCUCGCUUUGGCGGGCGCUCUCGUAGAGGCGAGUUCGAACCCCCUUGGGUUUCGCAUGCGGUCACCUUGGGACGGGCUGACGGACGUCUCGACCUACGGGCCCUCUGGGUCCGAGGAAGAUGACGACUCCAGCAUCUGUUGGGAUUUCUCUGGACUUGGCAACCCUAGUGCCAUGCGGGACUUCAUGACCGCAUGUGACUACUGCCUCUCCGAAUGUUCCGACGGUAGCCGCAACCUCGAUGACGAGGACUGCGGCCCAAGCCGCGAAUGUUUCCACGUCGAUCUAGGGGGUCCCUCCGAAGGCAAUCAUCUCAGCAUGCCGGAGGACGGUGAUCUCCCUAGGCCGGUGCCUCGCAGCUCGAGCAAGUACGUGGGGCGCAGGCCAGGUUCGACGAGGGAGCAGGAGCGCUUGAGCCGAUCCGCCGGGACGUCGGGCAGGCAUGUGCGGGCCAACCCCCGGCCGGAGAAAUACGUCACCUGCCCCAGGGUUUCCAGCACCGUGUCGCCGAUGACGUCAGGGUCAGGCCACCACCCGCAUCCAGUGGGGUCGGUCAGAACCUGGCUGCAGCAGCGAUGCUUCUUCGCGCGAUGCCGUAGCCGUCAACCACCGAGGGUCGGCGAAUCCAGGGGGAGCUCAAGAAUCUCCUGGAAGGUGCCGCGGUCCGACGGGCCAAGAGCUCAGCCUCCCAAAGGCAGGGAUACCCCUCGGAACCUCAUGUCGCGACUUCCCGAUUCAUGCGGGAAGCCUCGGCCUACACCGGGCGCACGCGCAACACCGCGCCUGCGGCCCCGGGCCGCCUCGGCAACGAGCACCAUCAUCACGACCGUCGGGCCCACCUCGACGAGAGGGCGCGCCGAGGCUAUCACCCCAGGCGUGGGGGACGCUACGACAGCGGGGAGGAUCGGAGUCCCUCGCCCGAACCACCCGGUCCGCAGGCCUUCAGCCGGGCCAUCCGACGGGCACCGUUCCCGACCCGAUUCCGACCCCGACUACUAUCGCAAAGUACUCGGGGGAGACGAGACCGGAACUGUGGCUCGCGGACUACCGCCUGGCCUGCCAACUGGGUGGAACGGACGACGACAACCUCAUCAUCCGCAACCUCCCCCUGUUCCUCUCCGACACCGCUCGCGCCUGGUUGGAGCACCUGCCUCCGGGGCAGAUCUCCAACUGGGAUGACCUGGUCCAAGCCUUCGCUGGCAAUUUCCAGGGCACGUACGUGCGCCCCGGGAAUUCCUGGGACCUCCGAAGCUGCCGACAGCAGCCGAAAGAGUCUCACCGGGAGUACAUCCGGCGAUUCUCGAAGCAGCGCACCGAGCUGCCCAACAUCACCGACUCGGAUGUCAUCGGCGCGUUCCUUGCCGGCACCACCUGCCGCGACCUGGUGAGCAAGUUGGGUCGCAAGACCCCCACCAGGGCGAGCGAGCUGAUGGACAUCACCACCAAGUUCGCCUCUGGCCAGGAGGCGGUCGAGGCUAUCUUCCGAAAGGACAAGCAGCCCCAAGGCCGCCCAUCGGAAGAUGCUCCCAAGGCGUCUACUCAGCGCGGCGCCAAGAAGAAAGGCAAGAAGAAGUCGCAAGCGAAACGCGACGCCGCCGACGCGGACCUUGUCGCCGCCGUCGAGUACAAGAACCCUCAGAAGCCCCCCAGAGGUGCCAACCUCUUCGACAAGAUGCUCAAGGAGCCGUGCCCCUAUCAUCAGGGGCCCGUCAAGCACACCCUUGAGGAGUGCGUCAUGCUUCGGCGCCACUUCCACAGGGCCGGGCCACCCGCAGAGGGUGGCAGGGCCCGCGACGACGACAAGAAGGAAGAUCACCAAGCAGGAGAGUUCCCCGAGGUCCGCGACUGCUUCAUGAUCUACGGUGGGCAAGCGGCGAAUGCCUCGGCUCGGCACCGCAAGCAAGAGCGCCGGGAGGUCUGCUCGGUCAAGGUGGCGGCGCCGGUCUAUCUAGACUGGUCCGACAAGCCCAUCACCUUUGACCAAGACGACCACCCCGACCACGUGCCGAGCCCGGGGAAAUACCCGCUCGUUGUCGACCCCGUCAUCGGCGACGUCAGGCUCACCAAGGUCCUUAUGGACGGAGGCAGCAGCCUCAACAUCAUCUACGCCGAGACCCUCAGUCUCCUGCGUGUUGAUCUGUCCUCCGUCCGAGCAGGCGCUGUGCCCUUCCAUGGGAUCAUUCCCGGGAAGCGCGUCCAGCCCCUCGGACGAUUCGACCUCCCCGUCUGCUUCGGAACGUCCUCCAACUUCCGAAGAGAGACUCUGACGUUCGAGGUGGUCGGGUUCCGAGGAACCUACCACGCGGUACUGGGAAGGCCAUGCUACGCGAAGUUCAUGGCCGUCCCCAACUACACCUACCUGAAGCUCAAGAUGCCGGGCCCCAACGGGGUCAUCACCGUCGGCCCCACGUACAAACACGCGUUCGAAUGCGACGUGGAGUGCGUGGAGUACGUCGAGGCCCUCGCCGAGUCCGAGGCCCUCAUCGCCGACCUGGACAGCCUCUCUAAGGAGGUGCCAGACGUGAAGCGUCACGCCGGCAACUUCGAGCCAGUGGAGACUGUUAAGGCCAUCCCCCUCGACCCCAGCGGCGACACCUCCAAGCAGAUCCGGAUCGGCUCCGGGCUCGACCCCAAAUAGGAAGCAGUGCUCGUCGACUUCCUCCGAGUGAACGUCGACGUCUUCGCGUGGAGUCCCUCGGACAUGCCCGGCAUACCGAGGGAUGUCGCCGAGCACUCGCUGGACAUUCGAGCCGGAGCUCGACCCGUCAAGCAGCCUCUGCGCCGAUUCGACGAGGAGAAGCGCAGAGCGAUAGGCGAGGAGAUCCACAAGCUAAUGACAGCAGGGUUCAUCAAAGAGGUAUUCCAUCCCGAGUGGCUUGCCAACCUUGUGCUUGUGAGAAAGAAAGGGGGGAAAUGGCGGAUGUGUGUAGACUACACUGGUCUCAACAAAGCAUGUCCGAAGGUUCCCUACCCUCUGCCUCGCAUCGAUCAAAUCGUGGAUUCCACUGCUGGGUGCGAAACCCUGUCUUUCCUCGAUGCCUACUCAGGGUAUCACCAAAUCAGGAUGAAAGAGUCCGACCAGCUCGCGACUUCUUUCAUCACGCCCUUCGGCAUGUACUGCUAUGUCACCAUGCCAUUCGGCUUGAGGAAUGCGGACGCGACGUACCAGCGGUGCAUGAACCAUGUGUUCGGCGAACACAUCGGUCGCACGGUCGAGGCCUACGUCGAUGACAUCGUAGUCAAGACGAGGAAAGCUUCUGACCUCCUUUCCGACCUUGAAGUGACAUUCCGAUGUCUCAAGGCGAAAGGCGUCAAGCUCAAUCCCGAGAAGUGUGUCUUCGGGGUGCCCCGAGGCAUGCUCUUGGGGUUCAUCGUCUCCGAGCGGGGCAUCGAAGCCAACCCGGAGAAGAUCGCAGCCGUCACCAGCAUGGGGCCCAUCAAGGACCUAAAAGGCGUACAGAGGGUCAUGGGAUGUCUCGCGGCUCUGAGCCGCUUCAUCUCACGCCUCGGCGAAAGAGGUCUGCCUCUGUACCGCCUCUUAAGGAAGGCCGAGUGCUUCACCUGGACCCCUGAGGCCGAGGAAGCUCUCGGGAACCUGAAGGCGCUCCUCACAAAGGCGCCUAUCUUGGUGCCCCUAGCUACCGGAGAAGCCCUCUUGGUCUACGUCGCCGCGACCACUCAGGUGGUUAGCGCCGCGAUUGUGGUCGAGAGGCAAGAAGAGGGGCAUGCAUUGCCCGUUCAGAGGCCAGUCUACUUCGUCAGCGAGGUACUGUCCGAAACCAAGAUCCGCUACCCAUAAGUUCAGAAGCUGCUGUAUGUAGUGAUCCUGACGCGGCGGAAGUUGCGACACUACUUCGAGUCUCAUCCGGUAACUGUGGUGUCGUCCUUCCCCCUGGGGGAGAUCAUCCAGUGCCGAGAGGCCUCGGGCAGGAUUGCAAAGUGGGCGGUGGAAAUCAUGGGAGAGACAAUCUCGUUCGCCCCUCGGAAGGCCAUCAAAUCCCAGGUCUUGGCGGACUUCGUAGCUGAAUGGGUCAACACCCAGCUACCGACGGCUCUGAUCCAACCGGAGCUCUGGACCAUGUUUUUCGACGGGUCGCUGAUGAAGACGGGAGCCGGCGCAGGCCUCCUCUUCAUCUCGCCCCUCGGGAAACACCUACGCUAUGUGCUGCGCCUCCAUUUCCCGGCGUCCAACAAUGUGGCUGAGUAUGAGGCUCUGGUCAACGGGUUGCGGAUCGCCAUCGAGCUAGGGGUCAGGCGUCUCGACGCCCGCGGUGACUCGCAACUCGUCAUCGACCAAUUCAUGAAGAACUCCCACUGCCGUGACCCGAAGAUGGAGGCCUACUGCGAUGAGGUUCGGCGCCUAGAAGACAAGUUCUACGGGCUCGAGCUUAACCACAUUGCUCGGCGCUACAACAAGACUGCGGAUGAGCUGGCAAAAAUAGCCUCGGGGCGAACAACGGUUCCCCCGAACGUCUUCUCCCGAGAUCUGCAUCAACCCUUCGUCAAGAUCGACGACACGCCCGAGCCUGAGGUGCCCUCGGCACAGCCCGAGGCACCCUCAGCUCGGCCCGAGGCACCCUCGGUUCAACCCGAGGUACCCUCGGCCUCCGAGGGUGAGGCACUACGCAUCGAGGGGGAGCGAAGCGGGGCCACGCCUGAUCAAAACUGGCAGACCCCGUACCUGCAAUAUCUCCGCCAAGGAGAGCUACCCCUCGACCGAGCCGAGGCUCGGCGUGUGGCGCGACGCGCCAAGUCGUUCGUCUUGCUGGGCGAUGAGAAGGAGCUCUACCACCGCAGCCCCUCAGGCAUCCUUCAGCGAUGCAUCUCCGUCGCCGAAGGUCAGGAACUCCUGCGAGAGAUACACUCGGGGGCUUGCGGCCAUCACGCAGCGCCUCGAGCCCUUGUCGGGAAUGCCUUCCGACAGGGCUUCUACUGGCCAACGGCGGUGGCUGACGCCACUAGGAUUGUCCGCACCUGCAAAGGGUGUCAAUUCUAUGCGAAGCAGACCCACCUGCCCGCCUAGGCUCUGCAGACGAUACCCAUCACCUGGCCCUUUGCUGUGUGGGGUCUGGACCUCGUCGACCCCUUGCAGAAGGCGCCCGGGGGCUACACGCACCUGCUGGUCGCCAUCGACAAAUUCUCCAAGUGGAUCGAGGUCCGACCUCUGAACAGCAUCAGGUCCGAGCAGGCGGUGGCGUUCUUCACCAAUAUCAUCCAUCGUUUCGGGGUCCCGAACUCCAUCAUCACCGACAACGGCACCCAGUUCACCGGCAGAAAGUUCUUGGACUUCUGCGAGGAUCACCACAUCCGGGUGGACUGGGCAGCCGUGGCUCAUCCCAUGUCGAAUGGGCAAGUGGAGCGUGCCAACGGCAUGAUUCUACAAGGGCUCAAGCCUCGGAUUUACAACGACCUCAACAAGUUCGGCAAGCGAUGGAUGAAGGAACUCCCCUCGGUGGUCUGGAGCCUGAGGACAACGCCGAGCCGAGCCACGGGCUUCACGCCUUUCUUCCUAGUCUACGGGGCUGAGGCCGUCUUGCCCACAGACUUGGAAUACGGCUCCCCGAGGACGAGGGCCUACAGCGAUCAAAGCAACCAAGCUAGCCGAGAAGACUCGCUAGACCAGCUGGAAGAGGCUCGGGACAAGGCCUUACUGCACUCGGCGCGGUACCAGCAGUCCCUACGACGCUACCACGCCCGAGGGGUCCGACCCCGAGACCUCCAGGUGGGCGACCUGGUGCUUCGGCUGCGACAAGACGCCCGAGGGAGGCACAAGCUCACGCCCCCCUGGGAGGGACCGUUCGUCAUCGCCAAGGUUCUGAAGCCCGGAACGUACAAGCUGGCCAACAGUCAAGGCGAGGUCUACGGCAACGCUUGGAACAUCCAACAGCUACGUCGCUUCUACCCUUAAGCUGUUUUCAAGUUGUUCAUAUACCUCGCACCCACGCAAAGUUUAGUCAUCAAGGAAGGGUCGGCCUCGCCUCGGCAAAGCCCGACCCUCCCUCGGGGGCUAAAAGGGGGGCAACCCCCUCUGCGUUGAAAUUUUCCUCGAAAAAAGAUCUCUUCUGCCAGAAUAUCUUUCGUGCUUUUUGACUACUUCGAAAAGUGGAUCCUGAAAACGACAGAGUACACAUAAGCAGCCAAGGCUGACCGAGCCGAGGGACUCCUACGCCUCCGGGAUAUGGAUACCUCACUCAUCACCUUCUGCGAGAAGUAACUCGCGUUCGGAUAAAGUGAUUCCGCGGACCGAAUAAGUCUUCACGUUCGGAAGCCCUUCUGCCGAAGCGAUCCUUUGAGCCUACUCGACUGAGUCGGUGACAGGGCCUCGUGGACGGGUGAAAGUGCGCGUAAGCGGCAAGGCCGACCGAGCCGAGGGACUUCCACGCCUCCGGGAUACGGAUACCUCACUCAUCACCUUCCGCGAGAAGCAACUCUCGCUCGCACAAACAUCCCUGUUACCGACAAAAAAGUCUAGAUACUCGAAACAAGAGGAAAAGAGACGCAGCUUUACAACACAGCGAGGGUGUGUUUAGGCCUCGGCGGCCACAGGAAACACAUGCUACAAGACAAACCGAUCCUGCAGGCUCGGGUCUUGACGCUGGAAGGGGGCAGCGGCACCCUCUGCAUCGAUGACACCUUCGGCGAGAUCCGACCUAGCCUCGGACGGCGACGCGGUCCAAGGAUCUCCACUCUGGGGGACGACGUCAUCACCACACCCGGGCAAUCGCUGCCAGGGUCUUCUCCGGGAAUCCAGCCCGAGCAGGCGGCUCGGCCGGUCGCCCCGGGGCCUCGGCCAGCCGUCCUCAGAGGGUGCCCGCCCGACCCGAGGCUUCGGCUGGUCAACUCCGGCGUCGGUCCCGCUAACGGACAACCCGGCUAGGCUCCGGCCAACCAGGUUUCAUUUUCGAGCCAACUCUACCCCUGUUCAUGCUGAUAUCGCUACCCCUAGCCUCGGCUCAUCGAAGAGCGGCCAAGGGGUUCCUUUAACUAAGUUAGAGAAGCCUCGGACAACAAGGCUGACCGAGCCGAGGGACUCCUACGCCUCCGGGAUACGGAUACCUCACUCGUCACCUUGACACGGGGCGACUCACGCUUGGUGAAGCGGUUCAGACAACCAACAGGCGAGACUUAGUGCUCGAAAAUGAGGAAAAAACACGGCUCCGUGCCAAAAUUACAUACAUGUUCAGGCCUCGACAACCAUAAUGAACAAAAACACUGGCAUUCAAAGUGCCGUUACAAACGGAACUCCAGUUCCCCCUCCGCAGGUACGAACAGCCCCACUCGAUGGGGGAUGGCCUGCGGAGCAACAGAAGACGGACGAGCGGCUCGCCACCGCCCGCUCUGACUGCGACGACAACGACCCCCGCUCCGGGUGGCUGAACUGCAGCAGCAUAGGCCUCAGGGUGGGCGCUGCUGCAAUCUUGCCCUCACCCACGCCGACGCUCGAGGGGCGAGGACAAGUGCAAAGAGCCGGAGGCCCGAAGCGCGGAUGGCGGUGGUGAUCCCGUCGGCGACGGGGACUUCUCGAGCCGCCUCCACCUCGGCACCGACGGCAGGGGCCAUCAGCCCUCCGGCAGAUCCCCACUCAAAUCCUCCCGGACGAGUGGGGCAUCGGCCUCCGUGUGGAGGCGCCGUACCGGUGCAAAGGCAGGACCACCCCAGAACACGAACACCGCCCUAGCAGCGCGCGACAUCUUGGGUGGUCCUCCCGUGCACACGGCGCGGCAGCCGCCCUCCGGCAGGAGGGGCCGCCGGGAGCCAAGCCGACGAGCUCGACACGCUGGGGGUGACGACGCCUGCCGUCGACCAGCCCCGCGUUGUCGAAGUCUGGGCCGCCCGCAGGGCCAGUGAGCGCCCUCUCCCUCGAACGCCGCAGGAGAGGGCGACCCACGAACCCGCGAGGGAGGUAGAGCUCCGGCUCAGCCCGGCCUCCACCCUAGCAAGGAUGAUGAACAUCCUUGAAGCUGAGGGUGGGACCAAGAUCGCAGCCCGGCUUGCUUCUCCCCACCCAGGAGCUGGUGGUCACCGUCUUGGGUGACCGCCGGCGGGGGGAUACAGCCGGGCUGGCUGAUGAAAAUCCUUGAAGCCGAACGAUGGCCGAAAGGUACCAACUCCCGCGGAGUUGCGUUCCUCCAACGAUGAGGCGAAAAGACGGCGGAUCUCCCCCAUCUGGGGGCUUGGAAAGUGGAAAGACACGAUGCAUAAGGGAGCGCGAAGACAUGGUCACCUUCCGAAGGGGGUCACCCUCCUUUUAAAGGCAACUCUCCCUGCUUGCGCCCCCAACCGUCACGGGCUGAGUCUUCUCCAACACGCUCCAAGGCCAUCCUGCGCCGCGCGGGGGCUGGGUCCCGCAUGUCAUGCAAGCCGGCUCAGAGCAGAAGAAGCCAAACCGCCGCGCACGGCGCACACGACCGCCCAGCGGUUACAAGUGACCCUCCACUUUUGCCCAGACUAACGGGCGAAAGAGGCGGGCAGCCAUGCAGGCGGCAUGCAACCACGCCAAGUGGACGCGCUUCUCCGACUCCCGACACGCCCAGCAUGGAGGCCCAGGCCCACGCGUCACGCAACCGGCGCGCCGGAUGCUUCAUGCAAGCAACUGCACCGCCACUUGCGCCACCACCGCGCCUCCUCGAUUGCGGAACCAAUACCGCGACUCGAGGCAACCCAGCGCACGACCCAGCGGCGGUCAAUGCGGCCAAAAGUGGGCCGACAGUAAUGACGGUGGCAGGCGGGCGGGAGCAGCGGUCACGUCGUCAGCCAAGCUCACGUCCCAUCCGGGGGCAGCAAGAGAACCCCCUCUCACGGCGUGAAGACAACACGCCCGUGAUCCGUACCUCGAACGGCUCGCGCACGCGCAACAGCCGCCCCGCCAACCACUCGCCCCGUCGCAUUAACUCCGCGGCGGGACAGGCGGCGCUUCUGGCAGGAGAAGCGGGCAACGCUUCGCCUUCGCCGUAAUAACCGCGCCAAAAAAGGUACACCGCGUCGUUUCGAUUUCGUAUCCUUUUCCUUUUUUCCUCUUUCUCUCUCUUGCAACAGGGACCGGGAAAGGGGGAUACCCCGAAAAGGAUCCUUCCCCGUGAAGGAACCAGGCUCCGAGCCUCCCUACUGAUCAGAGGUUCGAAGGCUGGCCCCCCGAGGGGUUCGACAGCCGCCUCAGAUCGCGUGGGCCCUACACCCACUACUGGUCAGAGGUUCGAAGGCCGGCCCCCGAAGGGUUUCACGGCCGCCUCAGGCUACUCGGGCUCCGCGCCCAUUACUGGUCAGGGGUUCGAAGGCUGGCCCCCGAAGGGUUCACAGCCGCCUCAGACGCUGAGCGAGGGAUGACCAUGGGUACGUUCGAUACAUAACCAAGGCUCGGGCUGCGCUCCCGAGGUACCCUAGGACAUUUCCGAGACCAGCGGGAGCGAUCUUGUAACGGAAUCCCAUCAGAGGGAGGCAUCGAGCCCUCGGACCCCGUCGCCAGGGGACCGGGUCCGGCAGAUCACCCGCAGGUACUUUUGGGCGUGCCUCUGGGCCCCUAGCUGACCCCUAACGAACGGGGCACGGACGUCCACUCGGAUUACCCGCUUGCAGCUCACUGGAGACACCAUGUUCGGCGCCCAUCGAGGGCAACAUGGCGCUUUCCCCCCCUCCUCCUUGCGGAAAGGCGACGCAGGGGCGUAUGUAAAAAAGCCGAGUCUGUCCCUGAUCGCCCUCUCGCCCUGUGCAGAGGCUCGGGGGCUGCUCUCGCAAACCCGGCUCCGGCCGAACCGUUGACAGCGUCAACAUACCAGCUCGAGAACUUGGGCCCCGACCGUACACCCGGGCUACGGCCAGUUCGCAUGAGGGAACAACCAGACCAGCCGAAGCAUCACGCGAGGCAUAAAGACCUCGAAGGAGUGAAACCACUCCUCCGAGGCCUCGGGGGCUACACCCGGCGGGUGCGCUCGCGCGCACCCACCGGAACAAACUGCAACCGAGAAAGGCUGGUCCCCUUGCAAAAAAGUGCGACGAAAGCCUCCAAGCGAGUGCUAACACUCCCUUCGAGGCUCGGGGGCUACUGUCGGGGACCAUAAUUAGGGGUACCCUCAAGACUCCUAAUUCUCAGCUGGUAACCCCCAUCAGCAUAAAGCUGCAAAGGCCUGAUGGGUGCGAUUAAGUCAGGGAUCAGUCCAUUCGAGCGACUCGAUCACGCCUCGCCCGAGCCUAGCCUCGGACAAGGGCAGCCGACCCCGGAGGAUUUCCGUCUCGCCCAAGGCCCCCCUCCAACGGCGGACAUAUUUCCGGCUCGCCUGAGGCCCUGCCUUCGCUAAGAAGCAACCCUGACUAAAUCGCCGCACCGACCGACCAAGUCGCAGGAGCAUUUAAUGCAAAGGUGACCUGACACCUUUAUCCUGAUGCGCGCCCCCCCGGCAGAGCCGAAGAGACCGCUGUCACUUCACCGCUCCACUGACCGGCCUGACAGAAGGACAGCGCCGACUGCGCCACUCCGACUGCAGUACCACUUGACAGAGUGAGACUGACAGGCUGUCAGGCCCGGCCAAAGGCACCAUAGGAAGCUCCGCUCUGCCCGACCCAGGGCUCGGACUCGGACUAAGUCCCGGAACACGGCGAACUCCGCUCCGCCCGACCCAGGGCUCGGACUCGGGCUAAGUCCCGGAAGACGGCGAACUCCGCUCCGCCCGACCCAGGGCUCGGACUCGGGCUAAGUCCCGGAAGACGGCGAACUCUGCUCCGCCCGACCCAGGGCUCAGACUCGGGCUCAGCCCCAGAAGACGACGAACUACGCUCCACCCGACCCCAGGGCUCGUACUCCGCCCUGGCCUCUGCCGACGACCUCCGCCUCGCCCGACCCAGGGGCUCGGACUCGGCCUCGGCCACGGAAGACAGGCUCAACCUCGGCUUCAGAGGAGCCUCCGCAUCACCCAACCUAGGGCGUAGGCCAGCCACGUCAACGGGAGGUGCCAUCAUCACCCUACCCCGAGCUGACUCGGGCCGCAGGGAACAAGACCGGUGUUCCAUCUGGCUAGCUCCGCCAGAUAGGCAAUGAUGGCGCCCCGCAUACUCCGUGACGACGGCGGCUCUCAGCCCCCUUACGGAAGCAAGAGGACGUCAGCAAGGACCCGACCGCUCCGACAGCUGUCCCUCCGCCAGGCUCCGUCGCUCCUCCGACGGCCACGACAUCACACCAGCUCGGUGCCAAAAUCUCUCCGGCUGCCACAUCGGCAUGUACUUAGGGCGCUAGCUCUCCCCCGCUAGACACGUAGCACUCUGCUACACCCCCAUUGUACACCUGGAUCCUCUCCUUGCGCCUAUAAAAGGAAGGACCAGGGCCCUCUUAGAGAGGGUUGGCCGCGCGGGGACGAGGACGAGACAGGCGCUCGCUUGGAGCCGCUCGCUUCCCUCACCCGCGUGGACGCUUGUAACCCCCUACUGCAAGCGCACCCGACCUGGGCGCGGGACGAACACGAAGGCCGCGGGAUUCCCACCUCUCUCGCGCCGGUCUCCGGCCGCCUCCUCGCUUCUCCCCCCUUCGCGCUCGCCCUCGCGCUCGACCCAUCUGGGCUGGGGCACGCGGCGACACUCACUCGUCGGCCAACGGGACCCCCCGGUCUCGGAACGCUGACAGGUAUACUAGCCGAGCUCACGGUCAUGAGCAGCUCAGGACUCUCUGAUGAUUAAUUUAUGGAACUAAAUUCAAAUUGUCAUAUGCAUUGCAUCGCAGGUGAUGUUGUUACUUUUGUUCUACUGCUUAAUUGGGUUGGUAUUUACUUAUACUUAGUAAUUGCUAAUAAAAUUUUGACCAACUUUAAAAGCAAUGCUCAGCUCUAACCAUCCUCUUUGAUAAGCCUUACACUUCACAUGAACUCCCACCUUUGGCGAGUUCAUUCACAUUAUUCCCCACAACUUGUUGAGCGAUGAACGUAUGUGAGCUCACUCUUGCUGUCUCACACCCCCACAGGUCAAGAACAGGUACCCCAGGAUGAGGCGCUUGGAGGAUGCUGUGAUGUGUUCGUGAGAGGUCUAGGCCAUCGUCUCCGAGUCAACUUUGGGUUGCUGGACCGUUGUCUCCUUAUAAUGUAAUUAUUUAUUUAUUUUGUAUAGAACUCCUGUUAUAUAGUAAAGAUGUGACAUUCGAUCCUGUGCCAUGAUUCAUCAUAUGUGUGAGACUUGGUCAUAGCACACCUGGUGAUUAUGUUCGCGCCCGGGUCUUGGUGCCCCUGAAAUCCGGGUGUGACAGAAGUGGUAUCAGAGGAAAUGUUGACUGUAGGACGAGACCUAGAUAGAAAUGGACAAAACUCUUACCUACUUAUCUUACUCUGAUUCAUUCCAUACUUACCUUAUCUUGAACCUGUCUCACCUUUUGCUACUCUACUCUAAUUAUUCUUACCUUUUCUUUCUAAAGACAAAAGUGGAUUUCACACUUUGAAAUCCUGUGCCUAAAGUGACCUUUAGGAAUGGGAGACCUACUCUUAGGAACGGAAAUAAAAUUAUUUUUAUAGGUAUUUGUACGCUUGAGUGUUCGUUCUUAUGAUACUUGUCUGAUUUGGAUCUUUGAUUGAGUGUGAUGAUUUGUGGAGUAAUGUCCACAAUUACAUGUGCAUAUACAUAUAGAAAAAAAUACUUAUAGCUAGAUAAACUAGAUUAUUCCUCAUUAAAGUAUCUAGCCUAACAAUAUCCAUCUCAUCUAAAAAGAUUCUAUCCUACACUCAUAGAUCCAUCUCAUCUCAAAAGAUCCUAACUUAUCCUAAUUAAAAUAUAUUUAACUUAAUAGAUCCAUCUUAUCUUAAAAGAUACUCUACUACUUUAAUAGAUUCAUCUUAUCUUGAAAAGAUUUUAUUUUAUUCUAAUAGAUCUAACUGACCUCAAAAGAUUCUACCUUAUCCCUAUGAAUUCAUCUUGUCCCAAUAAGCAUAUUUAUCCCGCACUAGUGUAACAACCAUGAUCUAAUCCAAAGUAAUUAGAUAUUAUCUAGUCUAACCUAGUUAUGCUGAUCUAAUCUAGAUCCCGUCUAAUCUAAUAUGGCCCAAUCUAAAGUGAGUUACUUAAUGGAUAAGUUAAUGCUUAUGAAAUAGAUUAGACCCUAUCCACAUGUUUUAACUUAGUUCACUCUGCACUAAAUAAAGAAUGACAGACCAACCCAACCAAUAGAGUCUUGAUGGAUUGCAUAAUCUGUCUAUCCCCACCUAACAUCAAACAGACUUUUGACCUACAUCAUGUAGUCUAUCUCAUCUAUAUCUAUCUUAACCAUAUUCCCCAACCGAUGAUAUACACUAACCAGGAAUCAAUGAGACCAAGACUGGAGAAGAAAAGAUCGACAUCGACAAGGAAUGAUAUAACAGUCAAAGCGAAUCUCGAGAUGAAUCAAGAUUCAAAUAUUUCGGAUAAAGUCUUCUCCUUGCCAUAAUCUUUCUUACCACAACCUGUCGAGCUUAUAUCCACAUAAUAAGUAGCCGGAUACCUAUGCUCUCCUAAUCAACCCCUAUUGACUAUAAAAAAAUGAAACUCUAGAUUUUUGAACCAAUUAUAGAUUAAAAGCUAAAUUACAAACAAAUCCUUAUGCAUCCCUUUUUCUUACAAAUCUCGAGGACGAGAUUUCUGUUAAGGGGGUAGAAUUUGUAGCACCCAAUAUUCUGAUUUUGGGAUUAGUAAAAUCUUUCUAAACCAAAGUAAAGUGACCCUGAUGAAUAUUUACACUUAGGAGUUCACCCCUUCUAAAAAUAAAUAGUAAUAUUAAAAUAACGUCAGUCUCUGAGUUUCAAGAAAUAAAUAAGAAGAUCCUUGUAUGAGUUAAGAUAUUCAUAAAUGUUCUAAAAACGUUUAGUUUAAAGUCUCUUAAUAGAGAUUAUUCCUUAAAAAGUAUCUUCUAUUAAAAUAAAUAAGUAAUGAAUAUUGGUGCACUUUUAAUUGGACCACACGCAAUGUGGUAUUGCGUUUGUAUAUAUUGUUUGUGUAUAUGAACUAUAUAUUUAAAAGUAUUUGGAUAAGUGAAUAAGAUAAAUGAAUAAAUAGUACAAAAUUCUAAUUUACAUGCUCGAUCAUUAUUGAAUGAUGCAUUUUUUAUCUUGGAAUUUGAAUUGAAACAAAAAAACAAAUUAGAAAAGGAAAAGAAAAAAAAAAGAAGAAGGCCAUACCUGUUGCCGACCAGGCCAAAAAAACGCUCUCCGUUUUUUUUCCUGCUGGCCGCAGCAUGCAACUGUGUGGGACCCACGCAAUUGAGCCCCCUUCUCCCUCCGUAUUGCUCGCAUCCAUCGUAACAACCUCACGAAGUGCUUAAUCCAAUCCUCCACCCACGUCGUGGAUAAAAGCAAGGCCAUGACACCCUGCGCAUAUCUGCCUACCCAUGCGAUCCUCCCCCAAACGUCUUCAUCAUGGACGAAGCCAAGAAGCUGCCAGCGUUGAUCCACACAUAUCGUUCGGUCCUCCUCUGGCGCCAAGAGAUUUGCUGCCGAUGUCGCGAUUCACGCGUUGAACCAGCGUUCCGUUGCCGUUUUCCUGGACCGAUGGCUAGUAUUUAUAAAAGCCGGAGGUCGGGUUUCCUUUCCCCAUCUAUCCUCUGGAAGCAAGCUUCUGUCGACACCGUGGGAGCGGGUUAGAGUGCGGUGCGGGGGAGAGAGGCCCGCCGCAUCCUGGGCUCGCCGGUGCUGCCCUUCUACACCAGUGGGGUGGUUCUGGGGCUUCGCCAGCACGCGGGGAAGCUUUGCCUGGUUCGUGCGCAUCGGGGUUGUGGCCGGAGCCUGGGUAAUUUCUCGACGGAAUUUCGGCCUCCGUGGUGUGGCCACCGAGCACCGCAGAUUGGACACGUGAUCGCAUAACAGAAGGUAAAUAACCAAUUGAAUCACUUCCCCAUGUCCUUUCAAUCGUAUUUACGCAAAUUGGGGCGGAAACCAGGCAACGGGGGCACCAGUGCGUCGUGCUCCGGCGGGAUUCCGCCGUGCAGACUGGGCGGCGCCGCCGCGCUCUGGCGUCGGGCGGGGAAGACGCCUCGUCACCGUCAGAUCACUUGUGGGCGGUUGAGAUUAGAUCGACCCAUACCCCUUCACUCGAUUAAAUCUGUGCCGUCGGUUGCAGGCUUUGCGGUCGAGAUUGGGUUACGGCGUGGAUGCCUCACGACCAUCAGAUCUUAAUCUAGCGGCUGUCGUUGGAUACUGAGUUAGGUUUUAUAAAAAAAUCUAAUCGCAACCGUCAGAUAGAGAUCCAACGGUCCAAGUAGCCCGAUACCCCUUCGCCCUGGCCUAUUUGCUAAAGAGACCCCGUAAUCUUUACAAAUUAACCCGCCGUCCGAUUCGGAUACAAACUGAGUCUUAAGACAAUUAAUGAGUUAGACCUCGGGUUCUCUGUUAAUGUUUGUGCAGUCCAGAACCUAAAAGAAAUUCGAGUUUAAAUAAGGAAAAAUGGAAUUUUAGUAUAAAAAUAAAUCUUGAAACUUAUUUAAUUCAUAGAAAUUCCAUUUUUACUCCUUUUUAACCCAUUCCAGUUGCAAUAAUUUUGUAUUAAUAUUGUCUAUCAACUAAUAACAUUGUUUAACCAUGAAACUUGAAUUGAAAUUGUUCAUUAGGAUCAAUCUAUUCUAAGUACCAAAUAAUUUCGGAAAUUUAUAACUUAAUAACCGUAGCCCCGAAUUUAGUGGUUCUUGUUUCUACGAUCUCGUAGCUUCGCGUAGAUUAUUAAUGCGCAGUUUAUCCUUAUGUUUGGUGUGAUGUUAAUUUUGCCUAUACAUGUUUGUCUAUAUUGCUACGUUUAGCGGUGAGGACACGAGUCACCUGAAGAGCAAGUUGGUACCUGGAAUCUCAAGUCCCAGGCAAGUUGUGCCCUUGAUCACUUCUUUUACCCACUCAUGUUCUAAUUAAUCAUAAUGAUCUGCAUAGGUUAAUUUUGAUGGGACCUAAUAGGUUACCUAGUUUGUCUAUCUUUAUGCCUUGUUUACCACUGAACUUUUUGGGUAGUACUUGCUAGUGCUAUAUGUGGUUUUGGGCAUUGAGAUACACAUUAUUCAUGAUUAUACUUUUGUUAUCCGUUGUUAUUUACUGUUCAUGUCAAGAUCAUUAAUGUUAAUUGGAACAUAGAGCUUAACUUGAGAAACACGUGCCACCACAAGGGUUUAUGGACGCCCUUGGCUGAUUAAUUAGGAAAGCUAGUGGAGGACUACCUUACCCGAAAGGGGCAAGGGCAGUAGGGGAGUGGUCAGUGUAGGGAGGUCCUUGCUUGAUUUUGCUGCGAUGGCGGUCAGGCAAGAACCCUGCAUUGGAGCUUCCUAUAAACUAUAGCGGGUUUUCUGAAGCUAGUGGAACUUUGUAAAGGCCUCGUAGUGUUACCCUGCCUUGCCUCCUCGGUAGAGGUGUACGGGAAGUCGCGAUCCCUUGGCAGAUGGGUAACAUGGCUUGUGGGUAAAGGGUACAACCUCUGCAGAGUGUAAAACUGGUAUACUAGCCGAGCUCACGGUCAUGAGCAGCUCAGGACUCUCUGAUGAUUAAUUUAUGGAACUAAAUUCAAAUUGUCAUAUGCAUUGCAUCGCAGGUGAUGUUGUUACUUUUGUUCUACUGCUUAAUUGGGUUGGUAUUUACUGAUACUUAGUAAUUGCUAAUAAAAUUUUGACCAACUUUAAAAGCAAUGCUCAGCUCUAACCAUCCUCUUUGGUAAGCCUUACACUUCACAUGAACUCCCACCUUUGGCGAGUUCAUUCACAUUAUUCCCCACAACUUGUUGAGCGAUGAACGUAUGUGAGCUCACUCUUGCUGUCUCACACCCCCCCACAGGUCAAGAACAGGUACCCCAGGAUGAGGCGCUUGGAGGAUGCUGUGAUGUGUUCGUGAGAGGUCUAGGCCGUCGUCUCCCAGUCAACUUUGGGUUGCUGGACCGUUGUCUCCUUAUAAUGUAAUUAUUUAUUUAUUUUGUAUAGAACUCCUGUUAUAUAGUAAAGAUGUGACAUUCGAUCCGGUGCCAUGAUUCAUCAUAUGUGUGAGACUUGGUCCCAGCACA